ACGCUGGCGGGGUGCCUAAUACAUGCAAGUAGAACGCUGAAGCUUGGUGCUUGCACCGAGCGGAUGAGUUGCGAACGGGUGAGUAACGCGUAGGUAACCUGCCUCUUAGCGGGGGAUAACUAUUGGAAACGAUAGCUAAUACCGCAUAAAAGUCGAUAUCGCAUGAUGUUGACUUGAAAGGUGCAAUUGCAUCACUAAGAGAUGGACCUGCGUUGUAUUAGCUAGUUGGUGAGGUAACGGCUCACCAAGGCGACGAUACAUAGCCGACCUGAGAGGGUGAUCGGCCACACUGGGACUGAGACACGGCCCAGACUCCUACGGGAGGCAGCAGUAGGGAAUCUUCGGCAAUGGGGGCAACCCUGACCGAGCAACGCCGCGUGAGUGAAGAAGGUUUUCGGAUCGUAAAGCUCUGUUGUAAGAGAAGAACGAGUGUGAGAGUGGAAAGUUCACUCUGUGACGGUAACUUACCAGAAAGGGACGGCUAACUACGUGCCAGCAGCCGCGGUAAUACGUAGGUCCCGAGCGUUAUCCGGAUUUAUUGGGCGUAAAGCGAGCGCAGGCGGUUAGAUAAGUCUGAAGUUAAAGGCUGUGGCUUAACCAUAGUACGCUUUGGAAACUGUUUAACUUGAGUGCAGAAGGGGAGAGUGGAAUUCCAUGUGUAGCGGUGAAAUGCGUAGAUAUAUGGAGGAACACCGGUGGCGAAAGCGGCUCUCUGGUCUGUAACUGACGCUGAGGCUCGAAAGCGUGGGGAGCAAACAGGAUUAGAUACCCUGGUAGUCCACGCCGUAAACGAUGAGUGCUAGGUGUUGGGUCCUUUCCGGGACUCAGUGCCGCAGCUAACGCAUUAAGCACUCCGCCUGGGGAGUACGACCGCAAGGUUGAAACUCAAAGGAAUUGACGGGGGCCCGCA
This 910-nucleotide ribosomal RNA is filed under the name uncultured bacterium. RNAcentral's name for it is "bacterial SSU rRNA". It matches the Rfam family "Bacterial small subunit ribosomal RNA", at positions 33 to 925 of the family's 1533-position model. The record is from RNAcentral.